Molecule: ribosomal RNA, 300 nt
Filed under: uncultured Pyrobaculum sp.
Lineage: Archaea; Thermoproteati; Thermoproteota; Thermoprotei; Thermoproteales; Thermoproteaceae
Description: bacterial SSU rRNA
Rfam family: Bacterial small subunit ribosomal RNA (bases 57-300)
Source: RNAcentral
UGUGAGUGGCUGUCAUCGUGUCGGUUGGAGGGUAGGGGGGAAGCGUGACACGGGAGUACUUGGCGGAAAGUGUGAGAAGGCGGUCUGAGAAGGCAUGUGGUAGAGCCGCGGGCUUAACGUGGGAAGUGCACUUGGGACUGGAAGGCGGGAGGAGGGCAGAGGGGGAUGGAAUUGCGGGUGUAGCAGUGAAAUGCGUAGAUAGGCGGAGGAAGACCUGUGGAGAAGGCAAGCCCCUGGGCAUGUACUGACGCUCAUGCACGAAAGCGUGGGGAGCAAACAGGAUUAGAUACCCGGGUAGUC